This 484-nucleotide ribosomal RNA is filed under the name uncultured bacterium. Its description in RNAcentral is "SSU rRNA". It matches the Rfam family "Bacterial small subunit ribosomal RNA", at positions 26 to 521 of the family's 1533-position model. The record is from RNAcentral.
AGGACGAACGCUGGCGGCGUGCCUAACACAUGCAAGUCGAACGAGGUCCAACCGGUGGCAACACUGGUGAAGACCUAGUGGCGAACGGGUGAGUAUCACGUGAGCAACCUGCCCCGAAGACUGGGAUAACACCGGGAAACCGGUGCUAAUACCGGAUACCCCCACCGGAUCGCAUGGUCUGGUGAGGAAAUGAAUUUUGCUUUGGGAGGGACUCGCGGCCUAUCAGCUUGUUGGUGGUGUAACGGACCACCAAGGCUUCGACGGGUAGCUGGUCUGAGAGGACGAUCAGCCACACUGGGACUGAGACACGGCCCAGACUCCUACGGAGGCAGCAGUGGGGAAUCUUGCGCAAUGGGCGAAAGCCUGACGCAGCAACGCCGCGUGAGGGACGAAGGCCUUCUGGGUUGUAAACCUCUUUCAGCAGGGACGAUGAUGACGGUACCUGCAGAAGAAGCCCGGCCAACUACGUGCCAGCAGCCGCGGU